This 244-nucleotide unclassified non-coding RNA is filed under the name Hevea brasiliensis (rubber tree). The record is from RNAcentral. Lineage: Eukaryota; Viridiplantae; Streptophyta; Magnoliopsida; Malpighiales; Euphorbiaceae.
AGGAGAAGGCCGGGAACUCUGCCCCGUUGAGAAGUGGUGGGAGCAAUAUCAAUACCACCCUUUCUACAGCGCAGGAUCCAGAAUGCGAUGGAGCUUGCAAGUAAUCUACGUAGGAAAGCUAACCUGGAGAGUUGAUGAUUUUGCACUUAUGUUGCCUUCAUCUUUCCCAUAAAAUUCAUGUUGUACUGCUGCAUCUCACUAGCAAAGUUGCACAGAUUCCUGUUCUUGAUUGAUAUCUUGCCAU